GAUGAACGCUGCCAGAAUGCUUACCCCAUGCAAGUCAACUUAAAUUUGGGUUUUUAACUAGGAUUGGGGUGGCCGGACGGGGUGAGUAAACGCGUAAAAGAAACUGCCUCACAGCUAGGGGACAAACAUUUAGAAAAUGAAAUGCUUAAUACCUGAUAUUAUGAUUUUAAGGCAUCUUAGAAUUAUGAAAGCUAUAAGCACUGUGAGAGAGCUUUGCGUCCCAUUAGCUAGUUGGAGAGGUAACAGCUCACCAAGGCGAUGAUGGGUAGCCGGCCUGAGAGGGUGAACGGCCACAAGGGGACUGAGACACGGCCCUUACUCCUACGGGAGGCAGCAGUGGGGAAUAUUGGACAAUGGACCGAGAGUCUGAUCCAGCAAUUCUGUGUGCACGAUGAAGUUUUUCGGAAUGUAAAGUGCUUUCAGUUGGAAGAAAUAAAGACGGUACCAAG
This 449-nucleotide ribosomal RNA is filed under the name Fusobacterium sp. oral taxon H28. RNAcentral describes it as "bacterial SSU rRNA". It matches the Rfam family "Bacterial small subunit ribosomal RNA", at positions 28 to 482 of the family's 1533-position model. The record is from RNAcentral. Lineage: Bacteria; Fusobacteriati; Fusobacteriota; Fusobacteriia; Fusobacteriales; Fusobacteriaceae.